UACUAGAGUAGCACUCGCAUAUCAAUAAGCGGAGGAAAAGAAACUAACAAGGAUUCCCCUAGUAACGGCGAGUGAAGCGGGAAGAGCUCAAAUUUGAAAUCUUAAAGGGUUUCCCUUUACGAAUUGUAGUUUAAAGAAGUGUUUUUCUGUUGAGGUUUUUGGUAAAAGUUCUUUGGAAUAGGACAUCAUAGAGGGUGAGAAUCCCGUAUUUGACCUUUACUUUCAACUUUGUGAUACACUUUCAAAGAGUCGGAUUGUUUGGGAAUGCAGUCCAAAAUGGGUGGUAAAUUUCAUCUAAAGCUAAAUAUUGGCGAGGAGACCGAUAGCGAACAAGUACCGUGAGGGAAAGAUGAAAAGAACUUUGAAAAGAGAGUUAAACAGUACGUGAAAUUGUCAAAAGGGAAGCGUUUUGACACCAGUGUUGUUUUUUCUGAAAAUCAAUUAAAGAACUGUUUAUGCUAAGCUUGUUUAGACUUUAUCAGCUAACUGUUUAGUUUUGAGCUUUUCUUUAAUGCACUUUUCAGUUAACAAGUCAACAUCAAUUUCUUUUUGCUGUAAAAAAGCUUGAGGAAGGUGGCUUGAGAUUCGUCUUAAGUGUUUAUAGCCUCUUGCCUAUGCAGUCGGAGAGAUUGAGGUCUGCAGCGUAGAUCCUUCGGGGCUAAAUGCAUUUGUGCUAAGUUAUAGCAUUUUAUAGACAACUUGUUGACUAUGAUUUGUCUUGUAGCUUACUCGCUUAUGUUAUUUUACCUACGCUUAGGAUGUUGAGUAGCGACAUACGCAC
RNAcentral lists this ribosomal RNA (781 nucleotides) under uncultured Neocallimastigales. RNAcentral describes it as "partial large subunit ribosomal RNA". It matches the Rfam family "Eukaryotic large subunit ribosomal RNA", at positions 20 to 635 of the family's 3401-position model. The record is from RNAcentral. Lineage: Eukaryota; Fungi; Neocallimastigomycota; Neocallimastigomycetes; Neocallimastigales.